Molecule: long non-coding RNA, 2074 nt
Filed under: Mytilus galloprovincialis (Mediterranean mussel)
Lineage: Eukaryota; Metazoa; Mollusca; Bivalvia; Mytilida; Mytilidae
Source: RNAcentral
CAACUUAUACAUGUGGUUAUCAUAAAAAAAAACUUUCAAUAAUUUUAAUAACCCCCCAAAAAUCAUGAACUUUAAAUUUUAAUCAUGUAAAUAGAUAUAUUGAUAUAUACAUUCACCAUUUGUGAAAUACAUCUUGUAAUUCAACUUGUGUUUGAUCUUAUACCACCGUUCCCCAUAGGUAUUAGGCCCAUAGGUACUAGGGUGAACGGGAAUCAGAGCCAAUCAACACUGAUACCCUGCUUACAAUCUGUUUUUUAGUGGCUGACUGCUGCAAAUGAAUGGUAUACAUUUUUGUUAAGGAGAUAGCUGAAGCACGCCUCCGGUUGAGGGAAUUUCUUACUGCAUUGAAAACCCAUUGGUGGCCUUCGGCUGAUGUCUGCUCUUUGAUGGUUGUUGUCUCUUUGACAUAUUCCCCAUUUCCAUUCUCAAUUUUAUACUUUAUCAUAUUCAUUGUAUCUGAUAAAAAUUAAUAGGUUCUAAAUAGACCAAUAUCUAUGAUGAGAUUGAUUUAUAACCAGUAUGACUCAUUAAAUGCAAAAUCUAAAAUAAGAUUAUAGUGGUUUUGACAGUUGUUAUCAGACGAAAAGAACCCUAGCCUGCUUACUCGUUCACCCUCUAUGCAGGAGGGAACCUUUGAAUAUUAUUGGUGUUAGUAUACUGAAAGUAUUAUGUAACAAACAUAGCUCAGGAGCCAGCAAUUCAGUGGUUGUUGUUUGUUUAUGUGUUACAAAUUUGUUUUUCGUUAAUUUUUUAUAUAAUUAAGGCCCUUAGCCUUCUCGUUUGAAUUGUUUUACAUUGUCAUUUUAGGGCCUUUUAUAGCUGACUAUGCAGUAUGGGCUUUGGUCAUUGUUGAAGACCUAUAAUUGUUAAUUUCUAUGUCAUUUUGGUCUCUUGUGGAGAGUUGUCUCAUUGGCAAUCAUACCACACCUUCUUUUAUUAUAGCUGUACAUAUCUAAUUAAAUCCUUUCUACAUCCAAACAAAAAUGUAAAUAAAAAUUUGUCUCAGGAGUUUUCCUUCUUUAUUAGGGACUUUUUUCCGGUGUCUAAGUUUCGAUUUUAUUUAUUAAUGACAAUUUGUAUUUGUAAAUUACUGGAAGAAUUAAAUAUAUGUGGUUAUAUGUUACCUUUUGAAACUAUGACAUCUAAAUAUAUAUCUUGAAAAAUUAUUUGAAUUCUGUUGUUUUUUUUAAGAUACGACAAUUGCCAACAAACACAAAUGGCGAAGGUCACAUGACCUGACUCUGAACUCAUUAGAUUUUAUAGUGGGAGUAUUCGUUAUUAAAGCUCUCGUCAUACUUUUUAAAAGAAAACACAUGAUACAUUAUUCGGUAUAUGACCUUAGUUAGCCCUGUUUCAAAUUCAUAUUCCGCAAAGAUUCAAGAAUGUUUUUGUUUCUUAAUUCCUAAUUAUCAAUGAGUAUUUAAGAAAAUUUAUAAAUUUAAUAAAACAGAUGGAAUCUGGGACUGAUCAUGACUGGCAAAAUUUCAAAACUUUGGUUGUCUAUUUCGACCAGCUGAAGCCAGGUUGGCAGUAUGAGUAAGAUCUUUUUAGAAAACGAAAGAAAAAACAUUAAAAGAUUAAGAUCUUUUAAGUAAGUUUAUAUUAAUUUCUGGAAUUUGAAUUUCUUUUCAUAUUAUUCAUCAAAAAUAUUUCACCAAAUAAGGUCCAAAAAUGAACAUAAAGAUAGAAUUUUAGUGUAAGUUUAAACUUUUAGAAGUUCAGGACGUAUAAAUGCUGAAAAUAUGCUGCACUACCCUAUAUUGUAACCUUUAAUAAAAUAGUACUAAUAGAACUAGUCAAAACUGUAAAGUCAGCUUGUGCCUUAUACAAACAGUCACUUUCUUAAAUUGUGUUUGAACUCAUGUUUAACCAAUGAUUAGUGCUCUUGCUGAUGUAAAAACUGUGCUUUAUAUGUUAUUUAAAGUCAUGUUCUCUUUUGACAUUUAAACAAGUUUGCUUUAAAAGAACUUUUUAAUUUAGUGCUUUAGGAUAAACAUUAUAAGAAACAUUCAAGAUAGUUACUAUUGUUUGAAUUUUUAUAUUGUUCUUGUUAUUGUAACUUGUCAUUACAUAU